Molecule: ribosomal RNA, 368 nt
Filed under: uncultured organism
Description: bacterial SSU rRNA
Rfam family: Bacterial small subunit ribosomal RNA
Source: RNAcentral
CGGAGGGUGCAAGCGUUAUCCGGAUUCACUGGGUUUAAAGGGUGCGUAGGUGGGCAAGUAAGUCAGUGGUGAAAUCUCCGGGCUUAACCCGGAAACUGCCAUUGAUACUAUUUGUCUUGAAUACUGUGGAGGUCAGCGGAAUAUGUCAUGUAGCGGUGAAAUGCUUAGAUAUGACAUAGAACACCAAUUGCGAAGGCAGCUGACUACACAAAUAUUGACACUGAGGCACGAAAGCGUGGGGAUCAAACAGGAUUAGAUACCCUGGUAGUCCACGCCCUAAACUAUGGAUACUCGACAUUUGCGAUAAACUGCAAGUGUCUGAGCGAAAGCAUUAAGUAUCCCACCUGGGAAGUACGAUCGCAAGAUUG